This 253-nucleotide ribosomal RNA is filed under the name uncultured bacterium. RNAcentral's name for it is "partial 16S ribosomal RNA". It matches the Rfam family "Bacterial small subunit ribosomal RNA", at positions 524 to 776 of the family's 1533-position model. The record is from RNAcentral.
UACGAAGGGUGCAAACGUUGCUCGGAAUCAUUGGGCGUAAAGCGCACGUAGGCGGCUUUGCAAGUCGGAUGUGAAAUCCCUCGGCUCAACCAAGGAAGUGCAUCCGAAACUGCAGAGCUUGAGUACUUAAGAGGAUCGCGGAAUUCCCGGUGUAGAGGUGAAAUUCGUAGAUAUCGGGAGGAACACCAGUGGCGAAGGCGGCGAUCUGGGAAGAUACUGACGCUGAGGAGCGAAAGCCAGGGGAGCAAACGGG